Molecule: long non-coding RNA, 686 nt
Filed under: Octopus vulgaris (common octopus)
Lineage: Eukaryota; Metazoa; Mollusca; Cephalopoda; Octopoda; Octopodidae
Source: RNAcentral
CGAGAGAAAGUAAGGAGUGAGAGAGAGGGAAGAGGAAGAGAGAAAGCGGAGUGGUUGUUUGUUGCAACAGCAGCAGCAGCAGCAGCAGCAGCAGCAGCACUAGUUGAGGUAACAGCAACAGUAACAAAAGAGAAAGAGCAAGAGCAACAACAACAACAACAACGGCGGCGCUACCAUCUCUUUGAGAAAAAACAAUAAUAACAACAACAACAACAAAAUUUGUAAUAAAGCUGAACAACAAUAACAAGAAACUUAACUCGUAUUAAUCAGGAGAGGCGGACUUGAGAGACAGACAGAUAGAUAGAUAGAUAGAUAGAUAGAUAGAUAGAUAGAUUGAUAGAUAGACGUUAGAAGUAUAGUGAAAGUGUGUGGGUGAUAGAAGAGCGGCGAGGAGGAAGGCAGUGCGAAUGGAGGAUUAUUAUUAUUAUUACCAUUACCUGCUUCUGCUUAUCCGGCAAGCACGUCGUCGACCACCGCACAUGUUGGAUUAAAUGUACCACGGACGGAGAUGAGUGGCAUGCAGCGGCCGGCUCAUUGCCUGUCACCCCUUUUACUGGUAGACAGCGCUACAUUUUUGACAAUACUGUUUAGUGUCACACUCAACUGGGCUCCAGGUAAAUAUUGAAAGUUUAAUAAUAUCCAAUUUUUUUUUUUUUUUUAAUAUUUCUCUCAAAACUUUCUUUUUA